UGGGAAUUUUGGACAAUGGGCGAAAGCCUGAUCCAGCAAUGCCGCGUGUGUGAAGAAGGCCUUCGGGUUGUAAAGCACUUUUGUCCGGAAAGAAAUCCUUGGCUCUAAUACAGUCGGGGGAUGACGGUACCGGAAGAAUAAGCACCGGCUAACUACGUGCCAGCAGCCGCGGUAAUACGUAGGGUGCAAGCGUUAAUCGGAAUUACUGGGCGUAAAGCGUGCGCAGGCGGUUUGCUAAGACCGAUGUGAAAUCCCCGGGCUCAACCUGGGAACUGCAUUGGUGACUGGCAGGCUAGAGUAUGGCAGAGGGGGGUAGAAUUCCACGUGUAGCAGUGAAAUGCGUAGAGAUGUGGAGGAAUACCGAUGGCGAAGGCAGCCCCCUGGGCCAAUACUGACGCUCAUGCACGAAAGCGUGGGGGGACGCAAAACAGGAUUUAGAUACCCUGGUAGUCCACCCCUAAANGAUGUCAACUAGUUGUUGGGGAUUCAUUUCCUUAGUAACGUAGCUAACGCGUGAAGUUGACCGCCUGGGGAGUACGGUCGCAAGAUUAAAACUCAAAUGAAUUGACGGGGUCAUAGCUGUUUCCU
RNAcentral lists this ribosomal RNA (588 nucleotides) under uncultured bacterium. Its description in RNAcentral is "partial 16S ribosomal RNA". It matches the Rfam family "Bacterial small subunit ribosomal RNA", at positions 356 to 1375 of the family's 1533-position model. The record is from RNAcentral.